CAAUACAUUGUAAUAGUGAAGCUACAUUAUCUAGAGCCCAUAGUCAAAUUUAUAAUAAAAAAUCAAGACAUACAGACUUAAGGCAGUUAUGUUAGACAACUUAUCACAGAUGGUAUUAUCACUAUAGAUUUUAUGAGAUCCAGUCAGAAUUUAGUGGAGCCACUUACAAAAGAACUUACAAAGAUGCAAUUCUUCAAGACUGCACAAG
Molecule: long non-coding RNA, 208 nt
Filed under: Elaeis guineensis (African oil palm)
Lineage: Eukaryota; Viridiplantae; Streptophyta; Magnoliopsida; Arecales; Arecaceae
Description: long non-coding RNA (EGUI_LNC017110)
Source: RNAcentral